GUGAGAUAGGAAUGUGGACACUGAGAUCACAUAACUAGUAGCAAGGAAGCCAGAACUUAACCAUGGAUCUUUCCAAUUCAAACUUUGCAUCCUAAUUAAAUAAGGCAUCCUCUCAAAUUGACAAUUGCCAAAUGUUCUGGAUGAGAACCCAGAAUUGCAUAAUAGAAGUUCACAAGGCUUUAGACAUCAACUCCUUCAACUCUCUAAUUUUUCAUAUGAAGAAACUGAGGCCCGGAGAGGUGAAGGGACUUACUGAAGAUUGUAAAAGUAGUUGAUGGUAGGACUAAUGUCCAGGGCUCAACUUCAAGGCAAAUUAUCUCUCUGCUACAUUCAAGACAAUUUAAUUUGAAGUUAGCCAACACAAUUUAAGAGAUUGUUGACUCCCUCAGUGAAUUAUAUAUAUUAUGCCCCCAAAAUAUUGUCAAAAUGAGGAAAGAGUCUUAGUUCUUAGUAAUAUUGUCAAUUGAGUACUUAACAUAUUAUCACUAGAAAUGUAGGAGUGAUUCAGAUUCAGAUUGCCAGUACAGUUUGAGACACCCUGCUUUUCGUACUUAAUCACCAUGAAAAUAUAAUAAUUAUAC
RNAcentral lists this long non-coding RNA (581 nucleotides) under Monodelphis domestica (gray short-tailed opossum). RNAcentral describes it as "lncRNA (ENSMODG00000030057.2)". The record is from RNAcentral. Lineage: Eukaryota; Metazoa; Chordata; Mammalia; Didelphimorphia; Didelphidae.